UGGCUGGUGUAACUCAGUCAGAUGGGUGAGAUAUUAUUAUUAUUAUUAUUAUUAUUAUUAUAAUAUCUCACCCAUCUGACUGAGUUACACCAGCCA
RNAcentral lists this microRNA precursor (96 nucleotides) under Podarcis lilfordi (Lilford's wall lizard). The record is from RNAcentral. Lineage: Eukaryota; Metazoa; Chordata; Lepidosauria; Squamata; Lacertidae.